Molecule: ribosomal RNA, 762 nt
Filed under: Microbacterium aquimaris
Lineage: Bacteria; Bacillati; Actinomycetota; Actinomycetes; Micrococcales; Microbacteriaceae
Description: bacterial SSU rRNA
Rfam family: Bacterial small subunit ribosomal RNA
Source: RNAcentral
GUAGGGCGCAAGCGUUAUCCGGAAUUAUUGGGCGUAAAGAGCUCGUAGGCGGUCUGUCGCGUCUGCUGUGAAAUUCCGAGGCUCAACCUCGGGCUUGCAGUGGGUACGGGCAGACUAGAGUGCGGUAGGGGAGAUUGGAAUUCCUGGUGUAGCGGUGGAAUGCGCAGAUAUCAGGAGGAACACCGAUGGCGAAGGCAGAUCUCUGGGCCGUUACUGACGCUGAGGAGCGAAAGGGUGGGGAGCAAACAGGCUUAGAUACCCUGGUAGUCCACCCCGUAAACGUUGGGAACUAGUUGUGGGGUCCUUUCCACGGAUUCCGUGACGUAGCUAACGCAUUAAGUUCCCCGCCUGGGGAGUACGGCCGCAAGGCUAAAACUCAAAGGAAUUGACGGGGACCCGCACAAGCGGCGGAGCAUGCGGAUUAAUUCGAUGCAACGCGAAGAACCUUACCAAGGCUUGACAUACGCCAGAACGGGCCAGAAAUGGUCAACUCUUUGGACACUGGUGAACAGGUGGUGCAUGGUUGUCGUCAGCUCGUGUCGUGAGAUGUUGGGUUAAGUCCCGCAACGAGCGCAACCCUCGUUCUAUGUUGCCAGCACGUUAUGGUGGGAACUCAUGGGAUACUGCCGGGGUCAACUCGGAGGAAGGUGGGGAUGACGUCAAAUCAUCAUGCCCCUUAUGUCUUGGGCUUCACGCAUGCUACAAUGGCCGGUACAAUGGGCUGCGAUACCGCGAGGUGGAGCGAAUCCCAAAAAGCCGGUC